This 812-nucleotide ribosomal RNA is filed under the name uncultured Nitrosopumilales archaeon. RNAcentral's name for it is "bacterial SSU rRNA". The stretch from base 1 to 717 matches the Rfam family "Archaeal small subunit ribosomal RNA", at positions 85 to 828 of the family's 1478-position model. Lineage: Archaea; Thermoproteati; Nitrososphaerota; Nitrososphaeria; Nitrosopumilales. The record is from RNAcentral.
ACKGCUCAGUAACACGUAGUCAACCUACCCUAUGGACGUGGAUAACCUCGGGAAACUGAGGAUAAUCCGCGAUAGAUCAUAACUCCUGGAAUUGGUUUAUGGUCAAAAUGAUUCGUCGCCGUAGGAUGGGACUGCGGCCUAUCAGCUUGUUGGUGAGGUAAUGGCCCACCAAGGCUAUUACAGGUACGGGCUCUGAGAGGAGAAGCCCGGAGAUGGGUACUGAGACACGGACCCAGGCCCUAUGGGGCGCAGCAGGCGAGAAACCUUUGCAAUGUGCGCAAGCACGACAAGGUUAAUCCGAGUGUUUCCUGCUAAAGGAAUCUUUUGUUAGUCGUAAAACCACUAGUGAAUAAGGGGUGGGCAAGUUCUGGUGUCAGCCGCCGCGGUAAAACCAGCACCUCAAGUGGUCAGGAGGAUUAUUGGGCCUAAAGCAUCCGUAGCCGGCUUUACAAGUUUCCGGUUAAAUCCAUUCGCUCAACGAAUGGGCUGCCGGAAAUACUACAUAGCUAGGGAGUGGGAGAGGUAGACGGUAUUCGGUAGGAAGGGGUAAAAUCCUUUGAUCUAUUGAGGACCACCUAUGGCGAAGGCAGUCUACCAGAACACGUUCGACGGUGAGGGAUGAAAGCUGGGGGAGCAAACCGGAUUAGAUACCCGGGUACCGAGCUCGAAUUCGUAAUCAUGGUCAUAGCUGUUUCCUGUGUGAAAUUGUUAUCCGCUCACAAUUCCACACAACAUACGAGCCGGAAGCAUAAAGUGUAAAGCCUGGGGUGCCUAAUGAGUGAGCUAACUCACAUUAAUUGCGUUGCGCUCAC